CUACGGGCGGUAGCAGUGGGGAAUAUUGCACAAUGGGCGAAAGCCUGAUGCAGCAACGCCGCGUGAGGGGCGACGGCCUUCGGGUUGUAAACCUCUUUUAGCAGGGAAGAAGCGAAAGUGACGGUACCUGCAGAAAAAGCACCGGCUAACUACGUGCCAGCAGCCGCGGUAAUACGUAGGGUGCAAGCGUUGUCCGGAAUUAUUGGGCGUAAAGAGCUCGUAGGCGGUUUGUCGCGUCUGCUGUGAAAAUCCGAGGCUCAACCUCGGACCUGCAGUGGGUACGGGCAAACUAGAGUGCGGUAGGGGAGAUUGGAAUUCCUGGUGUAGCGGUGGAAUGCGCAGAUAUCAGGAGGAACACCAAUGGCGAAGGCAGAUCUCUGGGCCGUAACUGACGCUGAGGAGCGAAAGCGUGGGGAGCGAACAGGAUUAGAUACCCGCGUAGUC
This 444-nucleotide ribosomal RNA is filed under the name uncultured bacterium. Its description in RNAcentral is "partial 16S ribosomal RNA". It matches the Rfam family "Bacterial small subunit ribosomal RNA", at positions 339 to 795 of the family's 1533-position model. The record is from RNAcentral.